This 253-nucleotide ribosomal RNA is filed under the name uncultured bacterium. Its description in RNAcentral is "partial 16S ribosomal RNA". It matches the Rfam family "Bacterial small subunit ribosomal RNA", at positions 524 to 776 of the family's 1533-position model. The record is from RNAcentral.
UACGUAGGGGGCAAGCGUUAUCCGGAUUUACUGGGUGUAAAGGGAGCGCAGACGGCAGUGCAAGUCUGGAGUGAAAGCCCGGGGCCCAACCUGUGGCCUGCAUUUGAAACUGUUUUUCUUGAGUACUGGAGAGGCAGACGGAAUUCCUAGUGUAGCGGUGAAAUGCGUAGAUAUUAGGAGGAACACCAGUGGCGAAGGCGGUCUGCUGGACAGCAACUGACGCUGAGGCGCGAAAGCGUGGGGAGCAAACAGG